GGAGAAUGUUAUCACGGGAGACACACGGCGGGUGCUAACGUCCGUCGUGAAGAGGGAAACAACCCAGACCGCCAGCUAAGGUCCCAAAGUCAUGGUUAAGUGGGAAACGAUGUGGGAAGGCCCAGACAGCCAGGAUGUUGGCUUAGAAGCAGCCAUCAUUUAAAGAAAGCGUAAUAGCUCACUGGUCGAGUCGGCCUGCGCGGAAGAUGUAACGGGGCUAAACCAUGCACCGAAGCUGCGGCAGCGACACUGUGUGUUGUUGGGUAGGGGAGCGUUCUGUAAGCCUGUGAAGGUGUGUCGUGAGGCAUGCUGGAGGUAUCAGAAGUGCGAAUGCUGACAUAAGUAACGAUAAAGCGGGUGAAAAGCCCGCUCGCCGGAAGACCAAGGGUUCCUGUCCAACGUUAAUCGGGGCAGGGUGAGUCGACCCCUAAGGCGAGGCCGAAAGGCGUAGUCGAUGGGAAACGGGUUAAUAUUCCCGUACUUGGUGUUACUGCGAAGGGGGGACC
Molecule: ribosomal RNA, 506 nt
Filed under: Salmonella enterica
Lineage: Bacteria; Pseudomonadati; Pseudomonadota; Gammaproteobacteria; Enterobacterales; Enterobacteriaceae
Description: partial 23S ribosomal RNA
Rfam family: Bacterial large subunit ribosomal RNA
Source: RNAcentral